Capsella rubella is the source of this 447-nucleotide long non-coding RNA. RefSeq lists it as uncharacterized. Lineage: Eukaryota; Viridiplantae; Streptophyta; Magnoliopsida; Brassicales; Brassicaceae. The transcript has 2 exons. The record is from RefSeq and is a predicted model, not a curated record.
CCGCGACUUCACCGCCUCGUCGAUUGAUUCAAUCACGUUUAUUCCGGUGGUUGCUUUUGUUGUUUCUUCCUAAAUCGUUUUGGUGAACUUUGAUCCAUCAAGGACAUCUGUUUCCUCAGCUUUCAUUGUUGAGUCUUCUGGACAGUCUCAAAUUACUCCAUCAUCCACUACUUCAGGUAAUUUUUCUAGAGUUUAGUUUGUAUCAAACAUAGUUGGGAAUUUAGGAAGACUUUCCAGCAUUCAAGAAGACAUGAUGAACAAGAUUAAAGAAGGGCAGUCAGAAGAUAGAAGAUUGAAGAUGGCCUAUGAUAUCUACAAGGAGAUCGUACUAAAGAAUUUGGAAGUUUUUGUAGUUUAGGAAAGAUUGAAUCUUUGUUGGAAUGGUUUAUGUUUCAGUUGGAAUUGAUUUUAAGAAUUAAUGUUAAAAAUAGUUGAAUUUUUGAAAUU